This 254-nucleotide ribosomal RNA is filed under the name uncultured bacterium. Its description in RNAcentral is "partial 16S ribosomal RNA". It matches the Rfam family "Bacterial small subunit ribosomal RNA", at positions 524 to 776 of the family's 1533-position model. The record is from RNAcentral.
UACAGAGGGUGCGAGCGUUGUUCGGAAUUAUUGGGCGUAAAGGGCGCGUAGGCGGUGCGGUAAGUCACCUGUGAAAUCUCCUGGCUCAACUGGGAGCUUGCAGGCGAAACUGCCGUGCUGGAGUGUGGGAGAGGUGAGUGGAAUUCCCGGUGUAGCGGUGAAAUGCGUAGAUAGUCGGGAGGAACACCUGUGGCGAAAGCGGCUCACUGGACCACAACUGACGCUGAGGCGCGAAAGCUAGGGGAGCAAACAGG